AUGCUAGAAUGCGUGCUCAAUAGAAUCCACACACAUCGAUUCAAGGGAAUCCACACACAUCGAUUCAAGGGAAGUCCUCUGUGUAACAUUCAGAGAAUUUCAGGUCAUGGCAUUGAUGGAAAAUUCUUUCAACAAUGUGACAUUGCUGGAAAAAGUUUUGAUAAACCAAUUGAUUUCAAGAGAUCAAGUAUCUUUAUAAUAAUUUCAAAUGAAUAG
This is a non-coding RNA of Vicia faba (fava bean), 216 nucleotides long. NCBI's taxonomy places the organism in Eukaryota, Viridiplantae, Streptophyta, Magnoliopsida, Fabales, Fabaceae. The record is from the annotation of a GenBank genome assembly.